CGCGCCAUUAGCUCAGCUGGAUAGAGCGUCUGGCUACGGACCAGGAGGUCGUGGGUUCGAAUCCUGCAUGGCGCGCCAU
This 79-nucleotide transfer RNA is filed under the name Pyramidobacter piscolens W5455. RNAcentral describes it as "tRNA-Arg". It matches the Rfam family "tRNA". Rfam says of the family: Transfer RNA (tRNA) molecules are approximately 80 nucleotides in length. Their secondary structure includes four short double-helical elements and three loops (D, anti-codon, and T loops). Further hydrogen bonds mediate the characteristic L-shaped molecular structure. tRNAs have two regions of fundamental functional importance: the anti-codon, which is responsible for specific mRNA codon recognition, and the 3' end, to which the tRNAs corresponding amino acid is attached (by aminoacyl-tRNA synthetases). tRNAs cope with the degeneracy of the genetic code in two manners: having more than one tRNA (with a specific anti-codon) for a particular amino acid; and 'wobble' base-pairing, i.e. permitting non-standard base-pairing at the 3rd anti-codon position. Lineage: Bacteria; Thermotogati; Synergistota; Synergistia; Synergistales; Dethiosulfovibrionaceae. The record is from RNAcentral.